Molecule: long non-coding RNA, 1391 nt
Organism: Gasterosteus aculeatus aculeatus (three-spined stickleback)
Lineage: Eukaryota; Metazoa; Chordata; Actinopteri; Perciformes; Gasterosteidae
Source: Ensembl
UAGACAAAUUCCUAACAGCCUGUUAGUCGCUCGCCAACAAUUUACAAACCGACCCCGUCCCAACAUCACAAAGUCAUGAGCUGAAUGCGAUGAAUCUUGCUGUAUCACUUUCCAUAUCCAAUAUUAUACUGCACUGUACUGAAAUAUAGUCAUAUUGUUGAGUAGCUUUACUCAUCAGGCUCAACAUGCAAAUGCACGUUCUAACGUUGAAGAAAGGAGGCUCCGGUUGUAACCUUUUUAAGUCAACUUUCAUUCAGCAUCAUCUGAGAUUCCACCUGAGUUCACUUCGAACCGCGUGUGACGGACGAGGGACAGAGUUGUAAUAAAGCCCCGGUGUGACUCUGGCAGUUUGACGCUGCCCCGAGGAAUGUGGAGUCGAUGCCGCUGGCGAUACCGGCAGGUGAAUGAAUGUCCGUCUGUCAGCAGGCCCACUGAUCACAGCGGUCCGGCCAACUGCCCAAAGCCAAGAAUGUCUAAGGCAGCCUGGAGAGGACGACCGGGGGGGACGACUUGGGGGGGGGAACUGUCCCGACGACUAUAGACCCAUAUAGCAUUAUAUCAUAUAUAUAUAGGUCAUUGUAAGAGUCAGCUGCGUUGGACUCUGGUAGCGUGAACAUUAAACCGGAUUGCAUCUUCACACUGUGUUUCAUGACUCAGACGUCCCUCGGUAAAUGUGUUGAAAUGAGGCAUGUUGCAGUAAGUCGGAGCCGAGAUAAGAACAAAGGAGCUGCCACAAACAUCACUAGAGUCCUUUUUCCAUCCUAAGGGGAAGAACACAUCAGUGGGAAUGUAAAAUAAUGUGGACGAGGACUUUAAAUAUCAACCUCCAGUCGCAUUGAAGUCGGCAUUAUUGCUGUUGUUCUCGUUGGUCUCUUUCAGCGACUCCACAGAGGUCUUGUUGGAGACGUCGCCUUCUUCGUCGGUUUUCUCGUCCACACUUGGCUCCACGGGCGCGGGGGGACUCUGCUCAACGGCGGCCGCUUUGGGUUCGUCCGCGGGGCUCUCUGGGGUCGCCGCCGGGGCAGCAGACUCAGCCCCGGGACCAACGUGAGAUUCCUCAGCCUCACCUGUGAAGGACAACAAAAGCCAACAAUUGUCAUUUCUACACAUUUUUCCUUCUUUGAAUCCAGUGUGUUGACACAAAAGAACAACGUGUGAGUGAAUUAAAACAACACAAAGUGAAUUUAACUAAAAACACCCAACAUCUGUGGAAGGUGCCUUCAAUAGGAAGUAAGACUGUUGCCUUAACAUUCAUUGGGUAACAUUGUUGGGACAUCAUUUUAACCUCUAUUAGAUGGCACGUUUGCUACUCAUUGUUCUGUACUUAGCUUCCUCAUAAUAACAGUAUUUCCACCCAUGUAGCCUGAAGCGGUCUCACCCUCUCUGACAGU